AACGAACGCUGGCGGCAUGCCUAACACAUGCAAGUCGAACGAGACCUUCGGGUCUAGUGGCGCACGGGUGCGUAACGCGUGGGAACCUGCCCUUAGGUUCGGAAUAACCCCCCGAAAGGGGUGCUAAUACCGGAUAAUGUCUUCGGACCAAAGAUUUAUCGCCUUUGGAUGGGCCCGCGUUGGAUUAGCUAGUUGGUAGGGUAAAAGCCUACCAAGGCGACGAUCCAUAGCUGGUCUGAGAGGAUGAUCAGCCACACUGGGACUGAGACACGGCCCAGACUCCUACGGGAGGCAGCAGUGGGGAAUAUUGGACAAUGGGCGAAAGCCUGAUCCAGCAAUGCCGCGUGAGUGAUGAAGGCCUUAGGGUUGUAAAGCUCUUUUACCUGGGAUGAUAAUGACAGUACCGGGAGAAUAAGCUCCGGCUAACUCCGUG
Molecule: ribosomal RNA, 433 nt
Filed under: uncultured bacterium
Lineage: Bacteria
Description: partial 16S ribosomal RNA
Rfam family: Bacterial small subunit ribosomal RNA
Source: RNAcentral